AGAGUUUGAUCAUGGCUCAGAUUGAACGCUGGCGGCAUGCCUAACACAUGCAAGUCGAACGGUAACAGGCCUUCGGGCGCUGACGAGUGGCGAACGGGUGAGUAACGCGUAGGAAUAUACCUUUUUGUGGGGGACAACUCGGGGAAACUCGAGCUAAUACCGCAUGUGCUCUUAGGAGUAAAGCUGGGGACCUUCGGGCCUGGUGCAAAAAGAUUAGCCUGCGUCCGAUUAGCUAGUUGGUAAGGUAAAGGCUUACCAAGGCGACGAUCGGUAGCUGGUCUGAGAGGAUGAUCAGCCACACUGGGACUGAGACACGGCCCAGACUCCUACGGGAGGCAGCAGUGGGGAAUAUUGGACAAUGGGCGCAAGCCUGAUCCAGCAAUGCCGCGUGUGUGAAGAAGGCCUGAGGGUUGUAAAGCACUUUCAGUAGGGAGGAAGGCUCAGUGGUUAAUAGCUAUUGGGAUUGACGUUACCUACACAAGAAGCACCGGCUAACUCCGUGCCAGCAGCCGCGGUAAUACGGGGGGUGCAAGCGUUAAUCGGAAUUACUGGGCGUAAAGCGCGCGUAGGUGGUUCAUUAAGUUGGCUGUGAAAGCCCCGGGCUCAACCUGGGAUGGUCAGUCAAAACUGGUGAACUAGAGUACAGUAGAGGGGUGUGGAAUUUCCGGUGUAGCGGUGAAAU
This 682-nucleotide ribosomal RNA is filed under the name uncultured bacterium. RNAcentral's name for it is "bacterial SSU rRNA". It matches the Rfam family "Bacterial small subunit ribosomal RNA", at positions 8 to 687 of the family's 1533-position model. The record is from RNAcentral.